RNAcentral lists this long non-coding RNA (731 nucleotides) under Cricetulus griseus (Chinese hamster). RNAcentral describes it as "lncRNA (ENSCGRG00015036696.1)". Lineage: Eukaryota; Metazoa; Chordata; Mammalia; Rodentia; Cricetidae. The record is from RNAcentral.
AACAGAUAAAAAAAAAAAAAAAAAACCCUUUGAAAUAUGUUCAGACAACCCUAUUAUUCACCAAUCAAGGCCUAAGUAAGGUUGGUGUAAGACAACAUCAGAGCCAAUCUGCCUGGCUAUAACCUGAUCCUUGGGUGUAUCUAGCAAUAUAUUUUAAAAUUACCUUGAUUUAUAACUUUCUUUUUGUUACUACUAUAAAAUUUAAUGAAACUCCUUCAACACUGGAACAGGGGAUAAGAUAACUUUAUGUUACCAAGCCACAGCCACUCACAUUUGUCUCUAGAGUAAGAUAUCAUCUUUUCUUACCUUUAAGGUAAGAGUGGUUUGUUUGUAUUGGAGCUAGGCUUUAUAUGGUAUUCCUCUAUAACCUCAGUUUCUCAGUCACCAGUCUGCUAAUAUUGAGAAAGAGAGAGAGAGAAAGAGAGAGAGAGAGAGACUAAGUCACCCUAAAGAGAGAAUUUAAGAUCCCCCACUGGUUCAUCAUCAUGAUAAAUCCCAAACUUAAACUAUCAACCUCUGCAAUGCAGGUAGAUGGAGACUGGUUCUGGCCUAUGUUCUUCCCUGUAGCACCCACACUUAAAAAGUCCCAGACCACAGAGAGCAGCACUCAGCAAUCCUCAGCCCUGAGAAGAGCUCUACUCUUCAAGAGGAAAAGGUUGUAUUGGUUACUUUUUGGUUGCUGUGAUAAAACACCAUGACCAGAGACAACUUUGGACGAAAUGUGUUAUUUU